RNAcentral lists this ribosomal RNA (372 nucleotides) under uncultured organism. RNAcentral's name for it is "bacterial SSU rRNA". It matches the Rfam family "Bacterial small subunit ribosomal RNA", at positions 526 to 896 of the family's 1533-position model. The record is from RNAcentral.
CAGAGGUCUCAAGCGUUGUUCGGAUUCAUUGGGCGUAAAGGGUGUGUAGGUGGCGCCGUAAGUCGGGUGUGAAAUUUCGGAGCUUAACUCCGAAACUGCAUUCGAUACUGCGGUGCUUGAGGACUGGAGAGGAGACUGGAAUUCAUGGUGUAGCAGUGAAAUGCGUAGAGAUCAUGAGGAAGGCCAGUGGCGAAGGCGGGUCUCUGGACAGUUCCUGACACUGAGACACGAAGGCCAGGGGAGCAAACGGGAUUAGAUACCCCGGUAGUCCUGGCAGUAAACGGUGCACGUUUGGUGUGGGAGGAUUCGACCCCUUCUGCGCCGGAGCUAACGCGUUAAACGUGCCGCCGGGGGAGUACGGUCGCAAGAUUA